CCUGCCCAAGAGAUCGGGAUAACACCUGGAAACAGAUGCUAAUACCGGAUAACAACAGAUGAUGCCUAUCAACUGUUUAAAAGAUGGUUCUGCUAUCACUCUUGGAUAGACCUGCGGUGCAUUAGCUAGUUGGUAGGGUAACGGCCUACCAAGGCGAUGAUGCAUAGCCGAGUUGAGAGACUGAUCGGCCACAUUGGGACUGAGACACGGCCCAAACUCCUACGGGAGGCAGCAGCA
This 237-nucleotide ribosomal RNA is filed under the name uncultured Lactobacillus sp. Its description in RNAcentral is "partial 16S ribosomal RNA". It matches the Rfam family "Bacterial small subunit ribosomal RNA", at positions 125 to 355 of the family's 1533-position model. Lineage: Bacteria; Bacillati; Bacillota; Bacilli; Lactobacillales; Lactobacillaceae. The record is from RNAcentral.